Molecule: ribosomal RNA, 251 nt
Filed under: uncultured bacterium
Lineage: Bacteria
Description: partial 16S ribosomal RNA
Rfam family: Bacterial small subunit ribosomal RNA
Source: RNAcentral
UACGUAGGGUGCAAGCGUUGUCCGGAAUUAUUGGGCGUAAAGAGCUCGUAGGCGGUUUGUCGCGUCUGCUGUGAAAACCCGAGGCUCAACCUCGGGCCUGCAGUGGGUACGGGCAGACUAGUGCGGUAGGGGAGAUUGGAAUUCCUGGUGUAGCGGUGGAAUGCGCAGAUAUCAGGAGGAACACCGAUGGCGAAGGCAGAUCUCUGGGCCGUAACUGACGCUGAGGAGCGAAAGCAUGGGGAGCGAACAGG